RNAcentral lists this ribosomal RNA (480 nucleotides) under uncultured bacterium. RNAcentral's name for it is "partial 16S ribosomal RNA". It matches the Rfam family "Bacterial small subunit ribosomal RNA", at positions 28 to 523 of the family's 1533-position model. The record is from RNAcentral.
GACGAACGCUGGCGGCGUGCCUAACACAUGCAAGUCGAGCGAGUGAAUCUCCUUCGGGAGUGAAACUAGCGGCGGACGGGUGAGUAACACGUGGGCAACCUGCCUCAUAGAGAGGAAUAGCCUUUCGAAAGGAAGAUUAAUACCGCAUAAGAUUGUAGCUUCGCAUGAAGUAGCAAUUAAAGGAGUAAUCCGCUAUGAGAUGGGCCCGCGGCGCAUUAGCUAGUUGGUGAGGUAACGGCUCACCAAGGCGACGAUGCGUAGCCGACCUGAGAGGGUGAUCGGCCACAUUGGGGCUGGGACACGGCCCAGACUCCUACGGGAGGCAGCAGUGGGGAAUAUUGCACAAUGGGGGAAACCCUGAUGCAGCAACGCCGCGUGAGUGAUGACGGCCUUCGGGUUGUAAAGCUCUGUCUUCAGGGACGAUAAUGACGGUACCUGAGGAGGAAGCCACGGCUAACUACGUGCCAGCAGCCGCGGUAA